UACAGAGGGGGCAAGCGUUGUUCGGAAUUACUGGGCGUAAAGGGCGCGUAGGCGGCUGUGCAAGUCAGGUGUGAAAGCCCUGGGCUCAACCCAGGAUGUGCACUUGAUACUGCACGGCUAGAGUGUCGGAGAGGAUGGUGGAAUUCCCAGUGUAGAGGUGAAGUUCGUAGAUAUUGGGAAGAACCCCGGUGGCGAAGGCGACCAUCUGGACGACAACUGACGCUGAGGCGCGAAAGCGUGGGGAGCAAACAGG
Molecule: ribosomal RNA, 253 nt
Filed under: uncultured bacterium
Lineage: Bacteria
Description: partial 16S ribosomal RNA
Rfam family: Bacterial small subunit ribosomal RNA
Source: RNAcentral